Molecule: long non-coding RNA, 1090 nt
Organism: Ictalurus punctatus (channel catfish)
Lineage: Eukaryota; Metazoa; Chordata; Actinopteri; Siluriformes; Ictaluridae
Source: Ensembl
CUUGCUGGGAAUAAUGAGAAGUAUAGAGGCAGGUGUUUAGGUGGCUGAGGUUGCCAGGGCUACGCGGCUUGUCUUCCAUGACCGAUCAGCACAGUGAGAAAAAGCAGGGACAUGAUGUCCUGGCUUACUGCACAAGAAUCAUUCUAGAAGGGCAAAGCAACGAACAGGAGAACAUUUCUUUCUUUCAUGAAACCAUUCGGUGCCAGACACUCUGGAAGAUCAGCAUGCCUGUUGCUAGCUAUUGGUGUCCAAAACACUUCAGUCAGUGCAGUGAGAAGGUUGAGUGACAACCCCUUCCUAGUAUACCACUUUUGAACAGGACAGUGUGGAACAGCUCGGUAUGGUGAUCAGUUUGAUUCCUUGUCCUACUUGUACUCUGCUAUAAACAAUUAUGUUACAAAGAAACCAUAUGAGAUACUGGAGAUCCUGACGCCGUCUGUCCGCUGGAAUACCUGAUCAAUCCUGAUGAUCCACUUCUGCUUGGAGCAUCCUUCACCUGAAAAUUCACUCACUGCUGCUGGGUAUGGCCCUGCUUGGACAGCCUAAAGAUCACCAUGAGAUUGCUGGUCACACUAAAGAUGGCUGUGGAUGUUCUUACUUGGAUAGCCCAAAGACUGUACUUGCUAAGAACAGUUUACACUCAAGUCUAAAUCAUUGAACCGUCAAUAACUUCACUUUGAUACUAUAGACUUGAGGUUAAAAAAAAUUAAUCAGAAAUGACUCUGAUGCUCAUACUCAAAUUCCUGACGUGGCACUGUUUGACAUUUAGUAAACUGUUAUAGUAGGGAAACUAUUUAUAAUUGCACUAUUCAGUGUCACUAAGAUGAGGAUGGGUUCCCUUUUGAGUCUUGAGUCUCAGGGUUUCUUCCUCAUGUCAUCUCAGGGAGGAUUUCCUUGCCAUCCUUGCCAAUUGCUUAGGGAUACAUUUAAAUCUAUAUUCAGAUUUCUGUAAAGCUGAUUUGUCACCAUGUUCAUUGUUAAAAGCGCUAUAUAAAUAAAGUUGAAAUGAAUUGAAUUGAAAGAGUUAAGUGCUAUGUCCUGAAGACUCUUCCACGGUGGAAAACCAUAAUGACUAUUACAAAGUGCUGAC